This 529-nucleotide long non-coding RNA is filed under the name Cricetulus griseus (Chinese hamster). RNAcentral's name for it is "lncRNA (ENSCGRG00000025805.1)". The record is from RNAcentral. Lineage: Eukaryota; Metazoa; Chordata; Mammalia; Rodentia; Cricetidae.
UCAGCACGGGAGAAUUCUGCACUACAGCGAUCCCUUCAUCCUCUUCCUGUUUCUGCUGGCCUUCUCCACAGCGACCAUCAUGCAGUGCUUCCUGCUUAGCACUUUCUUCUCCAAGGCCAGCCUUGCAGCAGCCUGCAGUGGGGUCAUCUACUUCACCCUCUACCUACCACACAUUCUGUGCUUUGCCUGGCAGGACCGGAUGACGGCUGACCUGAAGAUGAUUGUGAGCCUGCUUUCUCCUGUGGCAUUUGGCUUCGGCACUGAGUACCUGGUCCGCUUUGAAGAGCAAGGCCUGGGGCUGCAGUGGGACAACAUUGGGAAGAGUCCCAUGGAAGGGGAUGAGUUCAGUUUCCUGCUGUCCAUGAAGAUGUUGCUGCUUGAUGCUGCUCUGUAUGGCUUGCUUGCCUGGUAUCUUGACCAGGUUUUUCCAGGUAAGCAAGGAAAAGCCAGGCUACUUUAUCUCCAUGGUCAAGGAAAUUAGAUUCUUCAGAUGCAGACUGAAGGUGUGGCCCAGACUUCCAGUUUAAAC